RNAcentral lists this long non-coding RNA (371 nucleotides) under Eucalyptus grandis. RNAcentral describes it as "long non-coding RNA (EGRA_LNC006468)". The record is from RNAcentral. Lineage: Eukaryota; Viridiplantae; Streptophyta; Magnoliopsida; Myrtales; Myrtaceae.
ACCAACAGAGUAGAAAUUCAAACCUUGUAUCAUCGAUGACAAAAAGAAAAGGAAAAACGUGUAUGAUGUAUGGGACAAGACGUAGUCUAAUCAGAAAUUCAUUGCCAGAUCCCCUCUUGAUCAUAAACAAAUCAAGACUAGGUUUUAUACUAUGGGACAAGACGUAAUCUAAUCAGAAAUUCAUUGCCAGACCCCCUCUUGAUCAUAAACAAAUCAAGACUAGCUUUUAUACUAUUUCCUAUUAGCAAGAUGGUCAUUCGGUAAUCUGCGAAGUUCAUAUGCACCAGAUAGUCAAAACUCGAGCCGAGCCCCAAUGUAAGUACGUCCGAGGAUGACCCAUCAGAAUAGCACCACCGAAUCUGUUCUCAAGG